Non-coding RNA from Capsicum annuum, 105 nucleotides. Lineage: Eukaryota; Viridiplantae; Streptophyta; Magnoliopsida; Solanales; Solanaceae. The record is from Rfam.
UAUUGGUGAUAUGGACAAUCUCGAUGAAGAGCCUUGAAGCGUUCCCAUGCAUGAUAAAGGUUUUCAUCAGUCUUUUAUUUGAAGCUUACUACCUCACUGUAAAGU